CCCGUCAUUUUUCUAUCAACCUGGCUCGCAACUUUCCCCAAACUGCAAUCCCUCAUUCCCUCUCGCAUAGCUCGAUCGACCCCGAUCCAGAAGCACCGGCAAUGGAGCUCGCCGUUGGUGGCAAGAAGCUGCGUAGCAGCCCACAUCGCGCGCAGUAGGGCACACCCCACCCUCACCCUUAUCUUCGUGUGAGUUGAGCUCCUCGACUUUGCAUCUGCGUGUGCCACCAGAUCUGGCCAUCGAGUGAGUCCAUGCGAUCCUCGAUUUGGCGCUGAUUGACUCUUCGCCUCGCUAGGGCUAAGCUGUCGGGCUAUGGAUUGUUUGGUGGGGACUAGAGAGGUUAGACGAUAAGAGCCACUUCAGCGGCGAGGGUGCUCGAGAUGAUGGCACAGGACCUGACAUCAACCUUGAUUCAGGGGUUGGCACGGUAUGUGUGUCGUGUGAGGCAGCGCACAACUGAAGAUGCGUCCAGCCGGGGCUGGCCGACUGGCCAUGAGAUGUUGUUUGGUGGGGUUUGAUCCAUCUCUCUGGUCGGCAAGGGACGAUAUGCAAGUCUCCGUUUAUCUCAAGAUGUAACAGUAAAGGAUGGACUUGGUAGAGUAGUACUGCUUUUGCUUUUGGAUUGGUGAGUUCAUCGCAGACUCUUGAGCAUGCCCUCAAAAUUUAGCGCAAUAGAUGUGAUGCGCAUCAAGGCUGCCUAAGGUGCUGCUUGUAUCAAUAUGCUCUCAGCCAUCGCUACCUGCUCGCCUAAUGGUUUAACUAGGUUUUUGGAGCUAAAGCUGCUUUCAUCUCAUGCCCAAAACACAAUCGCUGGCGGAUAUAUCAAAGAAGUUCAUUUUUUGUAGACAAUGGCAAUGUGUAGUUUAUUGAGGCAUUGGGAUGGGGCGGCUUGUGAGUUGAUGUUACAUCAAAGCUGGCAAUGUGUAACCCCAACUUACAAUUAUGCAUGCAGAAUCGGCUAUAAGGAGAUCAUACAUCAAUGGGUGAGCAGACAGAUGUGCAUGCAGUGGAGGAAGUAGAGAUUAAUAAUGGGGUGACAAAUCACACAAAAUAGAACUACAAUUUGAUCAAAAGUAGAGAUCAGAUGUGAUCUUUUUUGAGAUGCAGGCAAGUUAUGCUACAAUUUGAUCAUACAAGCUAAAUCUUCUUAGGAAACAAACGUGUAGAAACUAAUGUAAUUUUCUAGGCAAAUUCAUGCAAAUUUGGUGUCAUAUUCCUGUAAAGCUGUAAACGUGUAGAAUACAAUUUUGAUCUUUUUUCUCCUAGGCAAACUCCUGUAAAGCUGAUCAUAGAAUCUGGAAAGGACAGCUAUAAAACCA
Phragmites australis (common reed) is the source of this 1319-nucleotide long non-coding RNA. RefSeq lists it as uncharacterized. The transcript is spliced from 5 exons. NCBI's taxonomy places the organism in Eukaryota, Viridiplantae, Streptophyta, Magnoliopsida, Poales, Poaceae. The record is from RefSeq and is a predicted model, not a curated record.